GGCAUUAUAGUGUAGCGGUAAAAGCGAGAGACUUACAUGCGGUAGCUUGCAGGACCUGGGUUCGAAUCCCAGGUGUGACA
Non-coding RNA from Melampsora americana, 80 nucleotides. The record is from the annotation of a GenBank genome assembly. Lineage: Eukaryota; Fungi; Basidiomycota; Pucciniomycetes; Pucciniales; Melampsoraceae.